Molecule: ribosomal RNA, 921 nt
Filed under: Marthamyces emarginatus
Lineage: Eukaryota; Fungi; Ascomycota; Leotiomycetes; Marthamycetales; Marthamycetaceae
Description: SSU rRNA
Rfam family: Bacterial small subunit ribosomal RNA
Source: RNAcentral
UGGUCAAUGGCCUAACGGCUGAACCAGCAACUUGGAAGAAUGUAUAGCUUCGGCUUGUCAUAUUUAAGCUAUAUAGGUUUAAUUUCAUAAAAGAAGUACUUGAAAUUAAAAAUAUAUUAGAACCCAAGUAACUGAUUAAAAUAGUUAUUAGUUAUUUUUUCCGUCAGUUAAAUCUUGGCACACUAAAUAUGAUCUCGACUAUGUCGAAUAAUGGUCUAGGUGAGAAUUCUGAUAAUGACAGUAUUUCAUCUAAUAGUCUUGACCAAAUUACGUGCCAGCAGUCGCGGUAAUACGUAGAAGACUAGUGUUAUUCAUCUUUAAUAGGUUUAAAGGGUACCUAGACAGCCUGAUUAGCCUACAAUAAGGAACGGUUAGAGCUAGAGUUUUAUAGGAGGAGGGGAGUAUUGAUGGAGGAGAGAUGAAAUUCUUUGAUACCAUACAGACUGGUAAAGGCGAAAGCAACCUUUUAUCUAAUAACUGACGUUGAGGGACGAAGGCUUGGGUCACGAACAGGAUUAGAUACCCUAGUAGUCCUUGCAGACAAUUAUGAAUGUCAUAGACUAGAGGAUUUAUUUUAGUUUAUAAAUGAAAGUGUAAGCAUUCCACCUCAAGAGUAAUGUGGCAACGCAGGAACUGAAACCAUUAGACCGUUUCUGAAACCAGUAGUGAAGUAUGUUAUUUAAUUCGAUGAUCCUCGAAAAACCUUACCACAACUUGAAUAUUAUCUAUUGUUUAUCCUUUAGAUAUUACAAGCGUUGCACGGCUGUCUUCAGUUAAUGUCGUGAGAUUUUGGUUAGCUCCAUAAAAUUAACGAAAACCCUUGUUUUAUUUAUAAAUAUUUUGAAUAGAGCAGAUCGCCACUAUAUUGGAUAUGAUAAGAGGGACCAAGACAAGUCAACAUGGCCUUAAUGUUGUGGGCUA